GUACUUUGGAGGAUGGCUGAUGUUUGCCUUUUCAAGAGAUGUAUCAUGGACUGUUUUUGUUAAACUAACUUAGCUUCAAGAAUUUGAGACUAACUCAGAUUUUCUCAAACAGUGGGGGAUUUGAUGCAGCAAUAUGCAGGCAUGGGAUAUCAGAAAGAGCCAGAUAACCAAAGGAAGAGUAGUAGCUGAAGCGGGAUUCUAAGACCAAGAAUAUUAAUUUCAGGGCAGAAGAGAUUUUUGCUGUUUCGGUCGUGGCAUUAUCUCCAGUAUUUAUGUGCCUGGAACAUAUUAGGUACUUAAUAAAUAUU
RNAcentral lists this long non-coding RNA (308 nucleotides) under Pan troglodytes (chimpanzee). RNAcentral's name for it is "long non-coding RNA NONPTRT002832". The record is from RNAcentral. Lineage: Eukaryota; Metazoa; Chordata; Mammalia; Primates; Hominidae.